Molecule: ribosomal RNA, 442 nt
Filed under: uncultured bacterium
Lineage: Bacteria
Description: partial 16S ribosomal RNA
Rfam family: Bacterial small subunit ribosomal RNA
Source: RNAcentral
CCUACGGUGGGCAGCAGUGGGGAAUCUUUGGCAAUGGGCGCAAGCCUGACCCAGCAACGCCGCGUGAAGGAAGGAGGCUUUCGGGUUUUAAACUUCUUUUAAGGGGGAAGAGCAUAAGACGGUACCUAUUGAAUAAGCCACGGCUAACUACGUGCCAGCAGCCGCGGUAAUACGUAGGUGGCAAGCGUUGGCCGGAUUUACUGGGUGUAAAGGGCGUGUAGCCGGGCUGACAAGUCAGAUGUGAAAUCACGUGGCUCAACCACGGAACUGCAUUUGAAACUGUCGGUCUUGAGUAUCGGAGAGGCAGGCGGAAUUCCUAGUGUAGCGGUGAAAUGCGUAGAUAUUAGGAGGAACACCAGUGGCGAAGGCGGCCUCCUGGACGACAACUGACGGUGAGGCGCGAAAGCGUGGGGAGCAAACAGGAUUAGAUACACGAGUAGUC